This 1497-nucleotide ribosomal RNA is filed under the name uncultured rumen bacterium. RNAcentral's name for it is "bacterial SSU rRNA". It matches the Rfam family "Bacterial small subunit ribosomal RNA". The record is from RNAcentral.
AGAGUUUGAUCAUGGCUCAGGACGAACGCUGGCGGCGUGCUUAACACAUGCAAGUCGAACGGAGUUAAGCGCUGGUCUGAUGCUAGCUUGCUAGUGGAUUUCCUUGCUUAACUUAGUGGCGGACGGGUGAGUAACGCGUGAGUAACCUGCCCUUGAGUGGGGAAUAACGCCCUGAAAAGAGCGCUAAUACCGCAUAACACAUAUUUGCCGCAUGACAGAUAUGUCAAAGAUUUAUCGCUGAAGGAUGGACUCGCGUCCGAUUAGCUAGUUGGUGAGGUAACGGCCCACCAAGGCGACGAUCGGUAGCCGGACUGAGAGGUUGAACGGCCACAUUGGGACUGAGACACGGCCCAGACUCCUACGGGAGGCAGCAGUGGGGGAUAUUGCGCAAUGGGGGAAACCCUGACGCAGCAACGCCGCGUGGAGGAUGACGGUUUUCGGAUUGUAAACUCCUUUUAUAAGGGACGAACUAAGACGGUACCUUAUGAAUAAGCUCCGGCUAACUACGUGCCAGCAGCCGCGGUAAUACGUAGGGAGCAAGCGUUGUCCGGAUUUACUGGGUGUAAAGGGUGCGUAGGCGGCUUGGCAAGUCAGAUGUGAAAUGCAGAGGCUCAACCUCUGAACUGCAUUUGAAACUGUCAGGCUUGAGUGAAGUAGAGGCARGSSGAMWUYYCUGUGUAGCGGUGAMAUGCGUAGAGAUAGRGMRGRAMMMYAGUGGCGASGSSGCCUGCUGRGCUUUAACUGACGCUGAGGCACGAMAGCGUGSGUAGCAAACAGGAUUAGAUACCCUGGUAGUCCACGCUGUAAACGAUGAUUACUAGGUGUGGGUGGACUGACCCCAUCCGUGCCGCAGUUAACACAAUAAGUAAUCCACCUGGGGAGUACGGCCGCACGGUUGAAACUCACAGGAAUUGACGCGGGCCCGCACAAGCAGCCGAGUAUGUGGUUUAAUUCGAAGCAACGCGAAGAACCUUACCAGGUCUUGACAUCGAGUGACGAUCUUAGAGAUAAGAUUUUCCUUCGGGACACGAAGACACGUCGUGCAUGGUUGUCGUCAGCUCGUGUCGUGAGAUGUUCGGUUCAGUCCCGCAACGAGCGCAACCCUUGCUAUCAGUUGCUACGCACGAGCACUCUAAUAGGACUGCCGUUGACAAAACGGAGGACAGUGCGGACGACGUCAAAUCAUCAUGCCCCUUAUGACCUGGGCUACACACGUACUACAAUGGCCGUAAACAGAGGGACGCAAUACAGCGAUGUGGAGCAAACCCCUAAAAGCGGUCUCAGUUCAGAUUGCAGGCUGCAACCCGCCUGCAUGAAGUCGGAAUUGCUAGUAAUCGCGGAUCAGCAUGCCGCGGUGAAUACGUUCCCGGGCCUUGUACACACCGCCCGUCACACCAUGGGAGCCGGUAAUACCCGAAGUCAGUAGUUCAACCGCAAGGAGAGCGCUGCCGAAGGUAGGAUUGGCGACUGGGGUGAAGUCGUAACAAGGUAGCCGUA